GUGCAGCAGGCGCGAAAACUUUACAAUGCUGGCAACAGCGAUAAGGGGACCUCGAGUGCCAGGAUACAAUCUUGGCUGUCGUAAUGNCUAAAAAGCAUUGCAUAGCAAGGGCCGGGCAAGACCGGUGCCAGCCGCCGCGGUAACACCGGCGGCUCGAGUGGUAACCGCUAUUAUUGGGUCUAAAGGGUCUGUAGCCGGCCGGAUAAGUCUUUUGGGAAAUCUGGCAGCUUAACUGUCAGGCUUUCAGAAGAUACUGUUCGGCUCAAGGCCGGGAGAGGUGAGAGGUACUUCAGGGGUAGGG
Molecule: ribosomal RNA, 301 nt
Filed under: uncultured archaeon
Lineage: Archaea
Description: bacterial SSU rRNA
Rfam family: Archaeal small subunit ribosomal RNA
Source: RNAcentral